CCUACGGGAGGCAGCAGUAAGGAAUAUUGGUCAAUGGAGGCAACUCUGAACCAGCCAUGCCGCGUGCAGGAUGACGGCCCUAUGGGUUGUAAACUGCUUUUAUACAAGAGAAAACCCUGGUACGUGUACCAGGUUGAUAGUAUUGUAAGAAUAAGCAUCGGCUAACUUCGUGCCAGCAGCCGCGGUAAGACGAAGGAUGCAAGCGUUAUCCGGAUUCAUUGGGUUUAAAGGGUGCGUAGGCGGACUGAUAAGUCAGUGGUGAAAUCUCUUUGCUUAACAAAGAAACUGCCAUUGAUACUGUCGGUCUAGAGUAUAGAUGACGUUGGCGGAAUAUGACAUGUAGUGGUGAAAUACUUAGAUAUGUCAUAGAACACCGAUUGCGAAGGCAGCUAACGAAACUAUAACUGACGCUGAGGCACGAAAGUGCGGGGAUCAAACAGGAUUAGAUACCCUGGUAGUCCGCACCGUAAACGAUGAUUACUCGUUGUUGGCGAUAUGACAGUCAGCGACCAAGCGAAAGCGAUAAGUAAUCCACCUGGGGAGUACGCCGGCAACGGUUGAAACUCAAAGGAAUUGACGGCNGAGAGNGCGAGGACGACGACGAGGGAGGAGG
RNAcentral lists this ribosomal RNA (613 nucleotides) under uncultured bacterium. Its description in RNAcentral is "bacterial SSU rRNA". It matches the Rfam family "Bacterial small subunit ribosomal RNA", at positions 338 to 951 of the family's 1533-position model. The record is from RNAcentral.